RNAcentral lists this ribosomal RNA (293 nucleotides) under uncultured bacterium. RNAcentral's name for it is "partial 16S ribosomal RNA". It matches the Rfam family "Bacterial small subunit ribosomal RNA", at positions 775 to 1067 of the family's 1533-position model. The record is from RNAcentral.
GGAUUAGAUACCCUGGUAGUCCACGCCGUAAACGAUGUCUACUAGCCGUUGGGAUCCUUGAGAUCUUAGUGGCGCAGCUAACGCACUAAGUAGACCGCCUGGGGAGUACGGUCGCAAGAUUAAAACUCAAAUGAAUUGACGGGGGCCCGCACAAGCGGUGGAGCAUGUGGUUUAAUUCGAAGCAACGCGAAGAACCUUACCAACUCUUGACAUCCUGCGAACUUGCUAGAGAUAGCUUGGUGCCUUCGGGAACGCAGAGACAGGUGCUGCAUGGCUGUCGUCAGCUCGUGCUG